UACGGAGGAUGCGAGCGUUAUCCGGAUUUAUUGGGUUUAAAGGGUGCGUAGGCGGACUGUCAAGUCUGCGGUAAAAUUGAGAGGCUCAACCUCUUCCCGCCGUUGAAACUGGUGGCCUUGAGUGGGCGAGAAGUACGCGGAAUGCGUGGUGUAGCGGUGAAAUGCAUAGAUAUCACGCAGAACUCCGAUUGCGAAGGCAGCGUACCGGCGCCCAACUGACGCUGAAGCACGAAGGCGUGGGUAUCGAACAGG
Molecule: ribosomal RNA, 252 nt
Filed under: uncultured bacterium
Lineage: Bacteria
Description: partial 16S ribosomal RNA
Rfam family: Bacterial small subunit ribosomal RNA
Source: RNAcentral